CUUCAGCGACCCCAGCCGCAGCGGCGCGGCGCGGUCCUGGCCGUAGGUGGCCAGCAGCGCCUGCGCCUC
Molecule: non-coding RNA, 69 nt
Organism: Streptomyces autolyticus
Lineage: Bacteria; Bacillati; Actinomycetota; Actinomycetes; Kitasatosporales; Streptomycetaceae
Source: Rfam